Molecule: non-coding RNA, 182 nt
Filed under: Desulfoplanes formicivorans
Lineage: Bacteria; Pseudomonadati; Thermodesulfobacteriota; Desulfovibrionia; Desulfovibrionales; Desulfoplanaceae
Description: 6S / SsrS RNA
Rfam family: 6S / SsrS RNA
About the family: E. coli 6S RNA was the first non coding RNA to be sequenced, but its function was unknown until recently.
Source: Rfam by way of RNAcentral
AUUUUCCUGGGAAGUGCGUGAUCAUGACUGUUAUUUUUGAGCCAAUAACGUUGUCUAGGGAGCCAAAUCCGAUUUCUGUGUGCAGGCCCGCCACAUUGGUGGGAAGCCUGAUGGAUCGGGGAGGUGCCCACCUCUGCAUAAGAGGUUCAAAUUGACACAUGACACGGCUUCCCGGGUAAUCU